AUUGAACGCUGGCGGCAGGCCUAACACAUGCAAGUCGAGCGGUAGAGAGGUGCUUGCAUCUCUUGAGAGCGGCGGACGGGUGAGUAAUGCCUAGGAAUCUGCCUAGUGGUGGGGGAUAACGUUCGGAAACGGACGCUAAUACCGCAUACGUCCUACGGGAGAAAGCGGGGGAUCUUCGGACCUCGCGCCAUUAGAUGAGCCUAGGUCGGAUUAGCUAGUUGGUGAGGUAAUGGCUCACCAAGGCGACGAUCCGUAACUGGUCUGAGAGGAUGAUCAGUCACACUGGAACUGAGACACGGUCCAGACUCCUACGGGAGGCAGCAGUGGGGAUAUUAGGACAAUGGGCGAAAGCCUGAUCCAGCCAUGCCGCGUGUGUGAAGAAGGUCUUCGGAUUGU
RNAcentral lists this ribosomal RNA (396 nucleotides) under uncultured bacterium. RNAcentral describes it as "bacterial SSU rRNA". It matches the Rfam family "Bacterial small subunit ribosomal RNA", at positions 30 to 426 of the family's 1533-position model. The record is from RNAcentral.